GAUGAACGCUGGCGGCGUGCCUAAUACAUGCAAGUCGAGCGGACGGACGCGAAGCUUGCUGUUCUGAUGUUAGCGGCGGACGGGUGUGUAACGCGUGGAUAACCUACCUAUAAGACUGGGAUAACUUCGGGAAACCGGAGAUAAUACCGGAUAAUAUUUUGAUCCGCAUGGUUCGAUAGAGAAAGACGGUCUUGCUGUCACUACUAGAUGGAUCCGGGCUUCAUUAGCGAGUUGGUAAGUUAACGGCCUACCAAGGCAACGAUGCAUAGCCGACCUGUGAGACGGAUCGCCCACCCGAGAACGUGGACGGCGUCCUGGCGCCUACGGGAGGCACCAGAAGGGAAUCGUCCGCAGUGGGCGAGAACCUGGCGCAACGACGCGGCGUGUGUGACGAAGGUCUUCGGUUCGUAAAGCUCUGUUAUUAGUAGAGAACAUAUGUGUAAGGAACUGUGCACAUCGUGACGGUACUGAGUCAGAAAGCACCGGCUAACUACGUG
This 497-nucleotide ribosomal RNA is filed under the name uncultured bacterium. Its description in RNAcentral is "partial 16S ribosomal RNA". It matches the Rfam family "Bacterial small subunit ribosomal RNA", at positions 28 to 507 of the family's 1533-position model. The record is from RNAcentral.